AGCGAACGCUGGCGGCGUGCCUAACACAUGCAAGUCGAACGUGAAAGGGAGCAAUCCCAAGUAAAGUGGCGUACGGGUGAGUAACACGUAGGUAAUCUACCCCAGAAUCUGGAAUAACCGGCCGAGAGGCUGGCUAAUACUGGAUAGAGCGACGGAAUCCGUAAUUGGGUUUUUCGGGAAAGGGAGCCUGUAAAAAGGCCUUCGUUCUGGGAUGAGCCUGCGUCCCAUCAGCUAGUUGGUGAGGUAAAAGCUUACCAAGGCAAUGACGGGUAGCUGGUCUGAGAGGACGAUCAGCCACACUGGAACUGAAACACGGUCCAGACUCCUACGGGAGGCAGCAGUGGGGAAUCUUGCGCAAUGGACGAAAGUCUGACGCAGCAACGCCGCGUGAGUGAAGAAGGCCUUCGGGUUGUAAAGCUCUGUCGAGUGGGACGAAAAUGCUUGGAGUUCACAGCUCCAGGAACUGACGGUACCACUAAAGGAAGCACCGGCUAACUCCGUG
RNAcentral lists this ribosomal RNA (502 nucleotides) under uncultured bacterium. RNAcentral describes it as "partial 16S ribosomal RNA". It matches the Rfam family "Bacterial small subunit ribosomal RNA", at positions 29 to 507 of the family's 1533-position model. The record is from RNAcentral.